GAGUUUGAUCUUGGCUCAGAACGAACGCUGGCGGCAUGCCUAACACAUGCAAGUCGAACGGGAUCCAGGCUUCGGCCUGGUGAGAGUGGCGGACGGGUGAGUAACGCGUGGGAACCUGCCCAAUGGUCUGGGAUAACCGCGGGAAACUGCGGCUAAUACCGGAUAAGCCCGAGAGGGGAAAGAUUUAUCGCCGAUGGAGGGGCCCGCGUCCGAUUAGGUAGUUGGUGAGGUAACGGCUCACCAAGCCGACGAUCGGUAGCUGGCCUGAGAGGAUGAUCAGCCACACUGGGACUGAGACACGGCCCAGACUCCUACGGGAGGCAGCAGUGGGGAAUCUUGCGCAAUGGGCGAAAGCCUGACGCAGCCAUGCCGCGUGAAUGAUGAAGGUCUUAGGAUUGUAAAAUUCUUUCACCGGGGACGAUAAUGACGGUACCCGGAGAAGAAGCUCCGGCU
RNAcentral lists this ribosomal RNA (453 nucleotides) under uncultured Alphaproteobacteria bacterium. RNAcentral's name for it is "bacterial SSU rRNA". It matches the Rfam family "Bacterial small subunit ribosomal RNA", at positions 9 to 498 of the family's 1533-position model. Lineage: Bacteria; Pseudomonadati; Pseudomonadota; Alphaproteobacteria. The record is from RNAcentral.